GAUGAACGCUGGCGGCGUGCCUAAUACAUGCAAGUCGAGCGAACAGACGAGGAGCUUGCUCCUCUGACGUUAGCGGCGGACGGGUGAGUAACACGUGGAUAACCUACCUAUAAGACUGGGAUAACUUCGGGAAACCGGAGCUAAUACCGGAUAAUAUAUUGAACCGCAUGGUUCAAUAGUGAAAGACGGUUUUGCUGUCACUUAUAGAUGGAUCCGCGCCGCAUUAGCUAGUUGGUAAGGUAACGGCUUACCAAGGCAACGAUGCGUAGCCGACCUGAGAGAGUGACCGGACACACUGGAACUGAGACAGGGUACAGACUCCAAAGGGAGGCCGCAGUCGGGUAUCCUCCCCAAUAGGAGCACGCAACGCGGACCAACGACCAGUGAGUGAUGAAGAACUUCGGAUAGUAAAACUCAGUUAUUAACGACGAAUAAAUGUGAAAGUAAAUACGCGUGUCUUGACGGUACAUAAUCAGAAUGACAGGGCUAAGCACGUA
Molecule: ribosomal RNA, 497 nt
Filed under: uncultured bacterium
Lineage: Bacteria
Description: partial 16S ribosomal RNA
Rfam family: Bacterial small subunit ribosomal RNA
Source: RNAcentral